AGCCGCGGUAAUUCCAGCUCCAUUGGCGUAUAUUAAAGUUGUUGCGGUUAAAAAGCUCGUAGUUGGAUCUGUGUAUCGGACGGCCGGUUCGCCGCUCGCGGCGUUCAACUGGUCGGUCCGGACGUCCUGCCGGUGGGCGUCGCCGCGAGGCGGCGUCCGUAGCUCCCUCCGGGCUGCUCUUAACCGGGUGGCUCGGUGGGCCGGCACGUUUACUUUGAACAAAUUUGAGUGCUCAAAGCAGGCCUUUGGUCGCCUGAAAACUGUGUGCAUGGAAUAAUGGAAUAGGGCCUCGGUUCUAUUUUGUUGGCUUUUCUGAACUCGAGGUAAUGAUUAAUAGGAACAGACGGGGGCAUUCGUAUUGCGACGUUAGAGGUGAAAUUCUUGGAUCGUCGCAAGACGAACGGAUGCGAAAGCGUUUGCCAAGAAUGUUUUCGCUAAUCAAGAACGAAAGUUAGAGGUUCGAAGGCGAUCAGAUACCGCCCUAGUUCUAACCAUAAACGAUGCCAGCCAGCGAUGCGCCGAAGUUCCUCCGAUGACUCGGCGCGCAGCUUCCGGGAAACCAAAGCUUUUGGGUUCCGGGGGAA
This 584-nucleotide ribosomal RNA is filed under the name Callibaetis ferrugineus. RNAcentral's name for it is "SSU rRNA". It matches the Rfam family "Eukaryotic small subunit ribosomal RNA", at positions 572 to 1122 of the family's 1831-position model. Lineage: Eukaryota; Metazoa; Arthropoda; Insecta; Ephemeroptera; Baetidae. The record is from RNAcentral.